Molecule: long non-coding RNA, 4549 nt
Organism: Microcebus murinus (gray mouse lemur)
Lineage: Eukaryota; Metazoa; Chordata; Mammalia; Primates; Cheirogaleidae
Source: Ensembl
AACUUCCAAAGUUGGAACUCUUAAAAGGAAGAAACAAAUGAGAGAUUUUCUGGAACAGUUGCCAAAAGAUGACCAUGAUGAUUUUUUCAGUACAACACUUUUGCAGAAUCAAAGAGUACUGUUGCCAAGCUUCCAGGACAGUGAAGACGAUGAGGAUAUUCUGCCAAAUAUGGACAAAAAUCCAACAACUCCAUCGUCAGUUAUCUUUCCAUUGGCAAAAACUCCUCAAUGUCAGCAUGUCAGUCCUGGCAUGCUAGCCUCUAUAAAUAGGAAUGAUUGUGAUAAAUACGUUUUUUGCAUGCAAAAAAAUCAUAAAAGUAAUGGUGGCAUUGUCUGGGGCAACAUCAAGAAAAAAAUGGUAAGUAUUUUUAUUUAUCCAACACUUACCUAUGAAACAACUAUAAUAUGUGAUAAAUUGUGGUAGUUAUCAGUUAUGUAACAGUCCCUGCUCAAGGUACUUUUAACUCAAUACAAGUAAACUAUAAUAUGAGGCCAUGAAUGAGGUAAGUACGUUAGGUACUGUAGGAUUAUAGGAGGGGUGGCAGCUCAUAGACUAAAGCCUUUGUUUGACCAAGGUGAGAGUAGGUAAAUAUUUUCAUUUGGGAAGUGAAGUAGGGUAGGGAAAUAGAUAUACAAGUCAGGGGAGGACAUUUCAGGCAAGACAAAAAAGCAUAGUGUUUGUUCAGUGAUUGGGGAGUAAUUUAGACUAAUUGGGUCAUGAUUUUCAUAGAAUAGGAAAUUUCAUCAAAUCCCAUGCAACUUUAUAAUGCUUUCAAUGUUUUUCAGAUUGUUACUUUUUUUUUUAACAUUCCAACAUUUAAAAUCCAAUUAGGGAAAAAAUUUUAACUUAAAAGAUGCCUUAAUAGAGUGAUCUUUGAGAAAAGAUUAGGAGAAUCCUUUAUUCCCUUGAAUUACUUUUUGAAUUUCUAAUUUUAAUUUGAAUAACUGAUAACCAAAUAUAAGUACUAGUAUUCUGAAAAAGUUAUGUCACCUCAAAUUUCCUCAAAAUAAAUAGCUAAUCUUAGAGAAUGAUAGUUUAUGGUGGUAGGGGACCACCUGUCUCCCUGAUGGUACUGCUUCAGAUGAGGUUAUGGCCACUUCUUCCUUACUCAUUUUGAAAUAUAUAUACUGCAAACUAGCCAAAGUAUAAUUCUUCUCAGACCUCUAAAUUAAAUACUGUGAUUACAUAAUUAUAUCCAAACUUUAUGGGCUUUACUUGAUCAUAGGAAAUGGUAGCUACCUCAUUGGGACCUUGGUUUAAAGUCAGACUGGGGACUAAAUUCAAAAGAAAUCUGUAGUCUAUAAUUGAAGGAGGCACAUUACGUCUCUGUUUAAGAUUCCCUUUUUCCAGUCCCACAUACUUUAAUGAGAAUGAAAUUUUGGUUUGUUGGAAAGGACCUAGAAUUAUUUAAUAAGAAAGCCUUGGAAUGGAAAUCCAAAGACUUGGCAUUACUUCCUGUUUUGCCAAUAAGAAGCUGGGUUGCAUUGAAAAGUGCCCUAAUGUUUCUGAAAAUUUAAUGUGCAUAGAAGUCAUCUGGGGAUCUUGUUAAGCUCCAGUUCUUAUGCGGUAGAUUUAAAAUUCUUCAUUUCUAACAAGUUCCUGGGGAUGUCUGUGCUACUGAUCCAUGGACCAUACUGAGUAAUAAGAUUCUAAUCCACUCAGUCUGUUUGCUCUGCAAAAUCAAGAGAGGCUGAUAUGGAUAUAUCUACAGGGGCCUUUCCUAGUAAGAACUUUUACUCUUAACUACUUCUGAUUUUUUUUUUAUAGGUUACAAUUUCAGCAGUCUACCAAACCAUAAUUUGUGGUUUAGCCCCAUUUUUUUCAUAGCAUAUUUUGUAGCCAAUGUGUUAGGAUUGUUCUAAUUUCAAGGUCUGACUCCACAUUACCAACUUUAUGACACUGAGCAAGCUACUUGAAUUUUCUAAUCCCAAUUAUGUGUAGUAUAACAAUGGUGAUCACGAUUAUACUGGUUUAUGUCCUGAAUAAUUUUAAGAGCCAAAUAACAUAAUGCAGUGUUUUGCCUCAUCUGAUAUGAAAAAACUACUAUGUGUGGGCCUAAGUUUGUAUAUCAAGUUUUUUACAACAAUACUUACUUACCCUUAGUAUGGGAGUUAUACACUAUCAUGUUUUCUAUUCUAUUCCUUUUGGUUUUUUAAAUAUUGCCAGUCAUGGCCUAUUGUUUGAUAAGCACUGAUGUAUGUGAGCAUGUACUUCAAAUUUAUUGUAUACGUUACCAUUUUAGCCAAGAAUGUGAAGAAAAUUAGUUUUGCUAGUGUAAUGUUUUCCAAGUGCAUAUUUUUACCUACAGUCAGUUGUAAUAAUAAUAAUCAUGAUAAAUUGUUUACAUUUUGAGUUAAGUUUACUAGCUCAAUAUAUAAUUAUUUGAGUGAAAUAAUAGUACAUUUUGGCAACUUUCAGAGGCCCAUAGACUAUCCUCCUUUAACUACUGUAGCAUUAGUUUGUAAUAUUUUCAUACAGUAAUGUUUGUCAGCAGUGCGAAACACUAAGUCAUGGUUUUUGCCCUGGGUGAACUCAACUUAAAAGAGAAUUAGCCAUCUCACAGAUAAUUAUAAUGUGAUUACAUAUCAUGAGCAUAUGUUCAAAGUACUCAGGCCCAACGUAUGCUUAAUUUUGUCUAGGUUUGAGGUAGGCAUCACAGGAAGUACCAUUUAACUAUUAAUAUGAAUUCUUUCAUAGGUUGAAACGGAUUUCACAACUCCAACAUCAAGAAGAAAAAGUCAAUUUAACAAAGGUAAUACACUUAUAUCUUCUUUUGUAGCUCAGUUCUAUUAUAUGGUAGUUUAUUUAGUUGAUAUUAAAAUUAAUUGCUCUCAAGUAGACAGAUCUACCAUUCUUUGUAAUUGUUUUCAGUUUCAUUGAAAUUACAUGUAGAAAUGUAUUAAUCCUUUCUAUUAAACUUCUCUCUCUUCACAGAUUUAGGAGAAAACUGUGGUAUUGGAAAACUUUUCACUAAUGCUAUGGAAUCUUUAGAUGAAGAAGAGAAAGAUUAUUAUUUUUCAAACUCUGAUUCUGCAUAGUAAAAAUGACAAAAUAUAACUUCUAGGAUUUUUACCAUAAAUCCUGGAAAUCAUAAAGCAGACAAUGUAUUUGUAUCUUCAUUUGGAGUACAUGUAUUUUCUUUGUAAUGUAGCUUCAUAUGAAAAUGAUUUUUUUCCAAAGGUUUCAUGUGUUUAUAUUCAAGGUAACAAAUCCUUGUAUAGAAUAUUCUCAUUGUUGUACGUAACUAAAAAUGUAAGGAAAAUUGUUUCACUUAUGGUUUGUAAAUUUGUUUUACAAUAUUAAAAUAUAUAGAUAAGUUUCUUAUAAAUAUCUAAGUCUGUUUACUUUUAGAAAAUCAUGUUCCAAACAGAUUUUUAAAAAGCUUUCAAGAAAAUGUUACUCUACUAUAAGUGAAGUGAGGUUGGAGAGGGGAUGAAAGAAGUUGUAUUGGUGGCUACUGAAUUCAUGAAAACUUCUAAGUUAGCAUUUACCACCACUUGAUACACAAGCCAGAGUUGAUGUAAUGUUUAAAUUACACACUCGUAACACUAUGUGACAUGCUUCUCUCCUGAUAGUUUUCUUAAAAUUUGUGAUUGACAUAUAUCUAUGAAAUCUAUGUAAAUUUCAUUUAUUGAUUUUUCAUUAUUUUAUCAGGUAGAAUUAGAUAAUAGCUUUGUUCCAUUCUUAAGCCUUAUUUACAUAUGCAGACAAAGCUUAAAUUUGGUCUCAAUAUUUUGACUGGAUUAGACAUUCAGUUAAUACAUCCACCAUUAGAAAGGAGUCAAGUUUAUGAUAUAUCAUGAUAAACAUCCUUUUUCUUUCUUGAUAUCUCCUUUAGAAAUAAACUGCUUUUAGAUUAUUAUGUUUUACAAUUUGAUAUAGAAUAUCUUCCCUCUGGCUACACAUUCACCUACCCUUUGUCUCCAGUUAGAGUGUCCAAAUAAAGUUAGACUGCUUUUAUAUUAUUUGUUUCUUGUUUUUGUUGUUUAUUUUUAAUUACUAGGUCAUAGAAAAAGAAAUAAGCAUUUUGUUACUGGUUCUGUUUUAGUUUCCUCAAAAAAUAUCUGAACUUUUAGUAGAAAAUAACAUUUUCUUCUUUCUUAAAAAUUUAGUCAGCCAGGUGUGGUGUCAUGUGCUUGCAGUCCCAGCUACUCAAGAGGCUGAGCAGGAAGAUAGCUUGAGCCUAGGAGUUUAAGUCUGUAGUGCCCUAUAAUUGCACCAGUGAAUAGCCACUGCACUGCAACCUGGAUAACAUAGUGAAACCCUGUCUCUUUCAAACAAAGCAAAAAAAUAAAGAAUUUAGUUAGUAAUAACCAGCUGGGCAUGGUGGCUCAUGCCUAUAAUCCUAGCACUCUGUGAGGCCAAGGUAAGAGGAUUGCUUGAGCUCAGCAGUUCAAGACCAGCCUGAGCAAGAGCAAGAUCCUAUCUCUACUAAAAAUUAGCUGGGCAUGGUGUUAUGUACCUGUAGUCCCAGCUACAUAGGAGGCUGAGACAGGAGGAUCACCUGAGCCCAGGAGUUUGGGGUUGCUGUGAGUUAGGCUGACGCCA